AAAGGCGAAAAGAACCCCUGUGAGGGGAGUGAAAUAGAUCCUGAAACCGCAUGCAUACAAGCAGUGGGAGCCGACUUGUUCGGUGACUGCGUACCUUUUGUAUAAUGGGUCAGCGACUUAUAUUCAGUAGCAAGGUUAACCGCAUAGGGGAGCCGUAGAGAAAUCGAGUCUUAAUAGGGCGUAUAGUUGCUGGGUAUAGACCCGAAACCGGGUGAUCUAUCCAUGAGCAGGUUGAAGGUUGGGUAACACUAACUGGAGGACCGAACCCACUGUCGUUGAAAAGCCAGGGGAUGACUUGUGGAUAGGGGUGAAAGGCUAAUCAAACUCGGUGAUAGCUGGUUCUCCCCGAAAGCUAUUUAGGUAGCGCCUCGGACGAAUACCAUAGGGGGUAGAGCACUGUUUCGGCUAGGGGGUCAUCCCGACUUACCAAACCGAUGCAAACUCCGAAUACCUAUGAGUACUAUCCGGGAGACAGACUGCGGGUGCUAACGUCCGUAGUCAAGAGGAAAACAAUCCAGACCGCCAGCUAAGGCCCCAAAAUCAUAGUUAAGUGGGAAACGAUGUGGGAAGGCAUAGACAGCUAGGAGGUUGGCUUAGAAGCAGCCACCCUUUAAAGAAAGCGUAAUAGCUCACUAGUCGAGUCGGCCUGCGCGGAAGAUGUAACGGGGCUAAAACUAUGUGCCGAAGCUGCGGAUUUGACUUUAAGUCAAGUGGUAGGGGAGCGUUCUGUAAGCCGAUGAAGGUGUAUUGAGAAGUAUGCUGGAGGUAUCAGAAGUGCGAAUGCUGACGUGAGUAACGACAAAACGGGUGAAAAACCCGUUCGCUGAAAGACCAAGGGUUCCAGUCCAACGUUAAUCGGGGCUGGGUGAGUCGACCCCUAAGGCGAGGCCGAAAGGCGUAGUCGAUGGGAAAUUGGUUAAUAUUCCAAUACUUCUGUUUAAUGCGAUGAGAGGACGGAGAAGGUUAAGUCAGCCUGGCGUUGGUUGUCCAGGUGGAAGGAAGUAGGCAUGCAUCUUAGGCAAAUCCGGGGUGCUCUAUGCUGAGAUCUGAUAGCAAGCUAGUUUACUAGCGAAGUGGCUGAUACCAAGCUUCCAGGAAAAGUCUCUAAGCUUCAGUUAAACAGGAAUCGUACCCUAAACCGACACAGGUGGUCAGGUCGAGUAGACCAAAGCGCUUGAGAGAACUCUGCUGAAGGAACUAGGCAAAAUGGUACCGUAACUUCGGGAGAAGGUACGCUGUUGUUGGUGAUAGGACUUGCUCCUUGAGCUGAUGACAGCCACAGAAACCAGGCCGCUGCAACUGUUUAUUAAAAACAUAGCACUCUGCAAACACGAAAGUGGACGUAUAGGGUGUGAUGCCUGCCCGGUGCUGGAAGGUUAAUUGAUGGGGUUAGCGUAAGCGAAGCUCUUGAUCGAAGCCCCAGUAAACGGCGGCCGUAACUAUAACGGUCCUAAGGUAGCGAAAUUCCUUGUCGGGUAAGUUCCGACCUGCACGAAUGGCAUAAUGAUGGCGGCGCUGUCUCCAGCAGAGGCUCAGUGAAAUCGAAAUCGCUGUGAAGAUGCAGUGUACCCGCGGCUAGACGGAAAGACCCCGUGAACCUUUACUGCAGCUUGACAUUGAACUUUGACCUUACUUGUGUAGGAUAGGUGGGAGGCUUUGAAGUGGUGACGCCAGUUGCCAUGGAGCCAUCCUUGAAAUACCACCCUGGUAAUGUUGAGGUUCUAACUCUGCUCCCUAAUCGGGAGCGAGGACCAUGUCUGGUGGGUAGUUUGACUGGGGCGGUCUCCUCCUAAAGAGUAACGGAGGAGUACGAAGGUGCGCUCAGCGUGGUCGGAAAUCACGCGUAGAGUAUAAAGGCAAAAGCGCGCUUAACUGCGAGACCCACAAGUCGAGCAGGUACGAAAGUAGGUCUUAGUGAUCCGGUGGUUCUGUAUGGAAGGGCCAUCGCUCAACGGAUAAAAGGUACUCUGGGGAUAACAGGCUGAUACCGCCCAAGAGUUCAUAUCGACGGCGGUGUUUGGCACCUCGAUGUCGGCUCAUCUCAUCCUGGGGCUGAAGCAGGUCCCAAGGGUAUGGCUGUUCGCCAUUUAAAGAGGUACGCGAGCUGGGUUUAGAACGUCGUGAGACAGUUCGGUCCCUAUCUACCGUGGGCGCUGGAAAUUUGAGAGGAUCUGCUCCUAGUACGAGAGGACCAGAGUGGACGAACCUCUGGUGUACCGGUUGUGACGCCAGUCGCAUCGCCGGGUAGCUAUGUUCGGAAGGGAUAACCGCUGAAAGCAUCUAAGCGGGAAGCCUACCUCAAGAUAAGAUUUCCCUAGGACUUUAUGUCCUCUAAAGAUCCGUUCGAGACUAGGACGUUGAUAGGUUGGAUGUGGAAGCACGGUGACAUGUGAAGCUGACCAAUACUAAUUGAUCGUGAGGCUUGACUAU
This 2430-nucleotide ribosomal RNA is filed under the name Acinetobacter gerneri DSM 14967 = CIP 107464 = MTCC 9824. RNAcentral's name for it is "Acinetobacter gerneri DSM 14967 = CIP 107464 Bacterial large subunit ribosomal RNA". It matches the Rfam family "Bacterial large subunit ribosomal RNA", at positions 510 to 2925 of the family's 2925-position model. The record is from Rfam by way of RNAcentral. Lineage: Bacteria; Pseudomonadati; Pseudomonadota; Gammaproteobacteria; Moraxellales; Moraxellaceae.